CGGCUGCAUCACGUCGAAAUACAGGUUCCCCUACGAACACCGAAUUUAAGCAAUGUUCAGCCUGGUCAGUACUAGAUGGGUGACAGCUUGGAAAUACCAAGUGCUGUA
Non-coding RNA from Acanthosepion pharaonis, 108 nucleotides. The record is from the annotation of a GenBank genome assembly. Lineage: Eukaryota; Metazoa; Mollusca; Cephalopoda; Sepiida; Sepiidae.